Numida meleagris (helmeted guineafowl) is the source of this 1428-nucleotide long non-coding RNA. RefSeq lists it as uncharacterized. The record is from RefSeq and is a predicted model, not a curated record. The transcript is spliced from 4 exons. Lineage: Eukaryota; Metazoa; Chordata; Aves; Galliformes; Numididae.
CAAAGCAGCUGCUCGGCAAAGGGAAGGAUAAAGGACAAUGCAGGAGGAAAACCUAUGGAAGAACGCACUGCUGUAUUUGGCAAUACGUUAGGUCCUGAUGACUUAUGAGCAUAAUGCGCAUUACAGCAAAAACGACACAGAGGCAUUUUGGCCACUUCACCAUGCUAUACCAGCAUAAAUUGCUGAGAACUACUUGGAGAAAUAAGUUCAGCAUGCAUGAUGCAACACAAGGGCAAACUGAUGGCUAGGCUACAAGACGUGACAUUUCUACUUCAGAGGCAAGAACCUAACAGCUGGAGACACAACAGAAAGGACUGGGAGAAGUAUAACAAAGAAUCCCAUCCCAAAAGAAUAAAACUCAGGAAAGCUGAAAGCUACCUGUCAACACUAAGCAAGAGGGAGCACACGAGGGGAAGCUCAGCACAACUGCACCAACCUCAUGCUUCACUGCUUCGGUGGCACUGGUCAGAAGCACACCCAGAUACUGCACCUCCUGCAGUCACUGGACAAAACUGAGCCUCUUUUCCCAUCUGCUAGGUGGGGUUUAACUGGCUUGUGAUAUCGUACGUAGAAGCACUAAGACAAAGUUCAGCUCAACACAUGGAAGCCAAAGCAUGAAGAGCAAUAUCCGUAAGUGAAGCUUCAAAAGAAAGGGUUCUCCAAGAUGGCAAAAGGUGGUAAUACAUGCUAAGGAGGAGACUUCUACAGAGACAGCAUGAAAUGCACCAGAAAUAAAAACUUAGUGAACUUCUGAAAACAAUCUUUAAUUAAAGUGCAUGACACAUGAGUCAGGGAUCCAACUGUGCAGGAAACACAAAUUAUAACAAAGGUUUAAGGACAUCAAGAGAACAAUAACGGAUUUUAAUCAGUUUACUCAUAUAAAUAAGGGAGUCUGGAAUUUUGAUCUGUAAACAAAACAAUGCACAAUAACUGAGACGUUUCCUAGAGCAAAGGGCUCCACCAAGAAUGUGCUUACACCACGAUUCUUAUCCCCAAAAUAUACAGAAACAAAACUAAGUAAAAUACAAAAUUAACAAGUAUGCAGUGUAUAAAUUACUAAGAUCUACUUUUUAUAAAGUAGCUUUUAUUUAGAAAUUCAAAAAUUAGAAAAGCACUACUGAGGAAAACAGCCAGAAGUUAAUGAUCAAAACAGUCACGAGAAGGUUUCAUCACGUGAGUAGGAUGGUAACUGGUUAUAAGGUUACACGAAAUAGCUUUCUGUAGGAAGCAGUCACUUACAGUACCACAAAUUAGUAUUUAAAAUAGACAGAAACAGCUCAGAACUUAUGACUGUUAACUGCUAAAACUGAAAGGAUGUUAUUAUUUCUUGAGCAAAAGCGGUUCAGUGAGAUGUUGUCAAUGCAAGUGCUACCACUACAAGAGAAAGAUUAUAUCUUAAUAUUUAAAAAAGCUCAAAAAAUUUAUUCA